GGGAACGCUGAGUCUUGUUGGGUCUUGAGUUGUGUGGUUUGGUAGCUCCUGUGGGUCCUCAAAUAGCCAAGAAUGGCAACGGCUGGUGUUGGGCUGAGGGGGAACUCCGCUGGUUUGUACUGCAUUGAGUAGUACACAGCUCAUGGGGCCUUUUGGGGUAGUGUUGAGAUAGGUUUUGUCAUAUUUGUAUAUUUUUUAUACAAAUACAUAUCAUGCUGUGUGUUUCCUAGGUCCACGUUGGGUUGGGUUGGCUGUUGAGUCUGAGUAAGUCUUGUCCAACUGCGUUACACAGGAUUUGUGAGCUCCCUAGAGUUGUGCUGGAUCAAGUCAGGUAGUCCCCCAUGGCACUGUGGAGGUCCAUUGUGUGUUCCAUGCAUGGUGUUGUUGAGUUGUGUUGAGACAUGUCGAGAAUUGUGUGGCGUUGUAUUUCUUCUAGGACCAUGUUUUUUUAGGUUCUGUGAACUUGUGAGUCAUGUAGAAAUACACAGUCAAGUAAUAGAAUAUGAGCUUUCUAGGUCACAGUGGGUUAAGUUGGGUUGGAACCUAUGGCUGAGUUCAUCUUUUAAGGGUUUUGUCAAGUUGUAUCAAUAAGGCUGGUUCAGUUGGGUCAUAACACUGUUGGAGUCUCACAGGACCAUGCUGAGUUUGGUCAUUGUGUGAAUUCUGUUGGAUUGAGUUGGACUAUAUGUAUGGGAUCCACAGGGCAAUGUUAGGUGGUUUUGCACUUAGUGGGAGCACCAGGACCUAAGGAUAACAGCACUUGGCAAGAGUCAUGUAUCCAGGAGGAAGUGUGGUGUUGUGGAUCUGGGCAAUGGACUGAACCACUGGCCCAGCGUUACUCCCUGGAGGUGAGGGACUGGGUCUUGAAUCCCUGGAUUCAGGUGUUCAUCAAAAGGGCCUCCAGGUGAACUAGGAAGAUGGAGAUGCUCUUUCCACUUACCCCACAUAGAGUUCAUCUUGCCCCAGCUCUGUCUGUCCUCCCUUGUGGUUUAGCAUGGAGACAUGGAAGUCAGAGCCAUUAGGGAAGACAGACAGGGAGAAAGCUGUGUGUACUCUGUUCAGACAUAAUAAGGGAACAAAAAGGAGGGGAAGACAGACACCCAGAGAGAUGGUGGGACAGAAAGAGAGAAAGAAAGAAAGAGAGACCCAUAGGAGGGAAACAGAGACCCAUAGAGAGAAGACUCCUUAGGGGAAUAGAGACCCAGAGGAAAGGGGACAGGGACCCAGAGAGAAGUACAGAGACCAAUAAUGGGGCAUGGAGACCUGGAGGGGGGUGUCAGACACCCCAAGAGAGAAGGACAGACACCAGAAAUGAAGACAGACCACACAGCAUCUGAGAAAGAAAGCCCCUCCUUCCCCGCCCCCCCAAAAGGCAGAAAAACUGGUAUUCUUGACCCUAAAGAGAGACCCAGUCUCUGUUCUCAGAAUCGUAAGAGAUCAUCCAUCUUCCUGCAGCUCAGGAAGACUGUCUGACAGUUGGAUGUCUCUGUGUUUUCCAGGAGAGGAACCCAAGGCUCAAAAGGGCAAUAGCUUCCCAAGGUCACACAGCACACCAGGGUGGGGGUGCUUGUGGCUGGCUGCUGGGCUUCACAUGUUCCCACAGUCCGUGGUGUUCAGGGACUUCCUGAGGCCAGUAGUCUCAUGUCUUAUAGAUGAGGAAACUAAGGCUCAGAAGGUACGCUGUUACCCAAGGUAGCAAAGCCAAACAUUUUCUAGAGUCAGAAUGAAAGGGCAUUUAGAGGAGGAAGAGGAGGAUGGUUACAAUCGCUAACACAUAUAGGGCUUCCUAUGUGCCAGGCAUUGUUCAAGGUAUUGUAUUAAUUUAUUAAAACCUAUCCAGUGGUUUACAGAGUGUUGCCGUUAUUAUUUUUAGCUCUUCAUUAGCACUCCUUUUUUGAGUCAAAUAAACUCUUCCUUCGAGGCACCAGAGGGAAAUUGGUUUGAGGACCCACCUCCCUGUGAGCCCAUCUAAGCAACUCAGAAUAUAGCAAAGAAAUUCAGUUUGGAAACUCCAGAUUUAAUUAAACUACCUUUUUUUUUUGAAUAUUUUUUUAGUUGUAGUUGGACACAAUACCUUUUACUUAUUUAUUUAUUUUUAUGUGGUGCUGAGGAUUGAACCCAGCGCCUUGCAUAUUCUAGGCAAGCACUCUAGCGCUGAGCCACAGCCCCAGGCCCUAAACUAACUUUUUUAUAUAACAAGUGAGAAGAUACAGAUGGCAGGAAGAGUUUGAUAAUGGUUGAAAAAAAUACCUUUAGGCAGUCAUUCUUUUUGAAAUGGAUAAAAAGUUACAUUCAGAGACAGAAAUGGAGGCAGACUCCCCUCUUCACAGCAAAAGACAAAGCAGAGUAUUGGGGUGCAGAACCCAUCACAGAGACACUCAGGAGACCUGGAGAGAGGACCAAUCCCAGCAGAAGAGAGAAUUCCAAGGGCAAGAAAGAGGAGGGCAGAGGGCUGGGAAGAGUAAGAGACCAAGAGAGGAGAGAGAGACCCAGAGAAGGGCGGCAGGCAGGCUGUUUCCUGGUUCCUCCUCUUUGAACACUCAUCCCUGUUACCCUUCAGGGCCUGGAAAUUACACAGCGUCCUCUUCUCAGGGAGUGGAUUGUGCCUGGAUGGGGGGAGUGCGAAGAGGUCAGAGAGGUGACGGGAAUGGUGACGUCAUUCAGACUGGGAAGUGGCCCUUUCCCCACCUCCAGUAAACAACUGGAGCCGCCCUCUGUGUUGCCUUGGCUGCCAUGGGACAGAGAGGGGAACACCCUAAUCCGGGGACACCCUUCCUGCCACCUUGCCAUGCUAUAUUUAGGCUGAGGGAGGGGUGCCUGAUGACCCCCCCCCAAGGCAGGUGUCGGCUUUCUUUCUAAAAAUAGCUCAGAGGAGGGGAGCAGAGUCCCAGGAUGGAGGUGUGGUAGGGUGCAGGCCCUGCCACCCAUAGGGCCGUCCCAGGACUCUCUAGCUCCUACCUCAUCUCUUAAGGGCUCUCUCCGAGGCCCUGUCCCUCCCCGGGUUCCCUCCCCUUCUGUUGGGAUGUCUGCCCCUCUGUCUUCUCUGCCCAGGUCUUUGUUCCCCAUCCCUCGCCCUAGGUCUUUGCCCGCCUCUUUCCCUUAGUUUCUGUCCUUUUCCCUCUAUUUCUAUGGCUUCUCCUCCCCUCUGCAUCUGAAUAAUUUCAGUUUCUCUAGACAGGUCACCCUGUUCUUAAAACAUUUUUGUCCCCGAGUCCUUUAAUACCUUGAACUUUUCUUGUCUGAGCUCAGGACAAGACCCUCUCCCCAGUCCCCACCCAGGAAAUUCCAGGAGACAGGACUCUGUAGGAGAGCCCCCCACAUCCACUGUCUCUGAGGCGUCGGGCCUUAUCGCUGCCCAAGCCCAGCUGGUUAAUGUCUGGCGGGGAGCUCCUGGGAAAGUGGGGAUGAGAGCAGAGGGUGGGAAUCUGCCCCCAGAUUGACACUGAAUUGGCAAAAGACUGCAUAGGAUCUCAGGCCCAUCUCCUGGGUGUGAGGGAGGAGGGCUGGGGCCUGGACCUCUGGAUCUGAGGGGGGGGCCUGAAAGAGGAGGCCUGGACCCUGGAUCCGAGGGAGGAGAACUGGGUCUAGACACACGAAUCUGCGGGAGGAAGGCUGGGAUCCCGGACCCUUGGUCUGAGGGAGGAGGGCUGGGGUUGGUACCCCGGGGUCUGGAGCG
RNAcentral lists this long non-coding RNA (3676 nucleotides) under Marmota monax (woodchuck). The record is from RNAcentral. Lineage: Eukaryota; Metazoa; Chordata; Mammalia; Rodentia; Sciuridae.